CAAUAGCGUAUAUUAAAGUUGUUGCAGUUAAAAAGCUCGUAGUUGGAUCUCGGGUACUAGCAUGUGGUACGCUUUACUGCUGUUACUACAUGUCUGGUCCUAAUCAAUCGGUUGGCCGUUGAUGCCCUUCAUUGGGUGUUUUCGGUAGCCGGUACGUUUACUUUGAGAAAAUUAGAGUGCUUAAAGCAGGCUAUACGCCUGUAUAAUGUUGCAUGGAAUAAUAGAAUAGGACCUCGGUUUUAUUUUGUUGGUUUUGUAGAGCAUUGAGGUAAUGAUUAAUAGGGACAGACGGGGGCAUUCGUACUGCGGUGUUAGAGGUGAAAUUCUUGGAUCGCCGCAGGACGAACAACUGCGAAAGCAUUUGCCAAGAAUGUUUUCAUUAAUCAAGAACGAAAGUUGGAGGUUCGAAGACGAUUAGAUACCGUCCUAGUUCCAACCAUAAACGAUGCCAACUAGCAAUUAGCUGCUGUUAAUUAAACGACACAGCUAGCGGCUUCCGGGAAACCAAAGUUUUUGGGUUCCGGGGGAAGUAUGGUUGCAAAGCUGAAACUUAAAGGAAUUGACGGAAGGGCACCACCAGGAGUGGAGCCUGCGGCUUAAUUCGACUCAAC
This 611-nucleotide ribosomal RNA is filed under the name uncultured eukaryote. RNAcentral describes it as "SSU rRNA". It matches the Rfam family "Eukaryotic small subunit ribosomal RNA", at positions 592 to 1204 of the family's 1831-position model. The record is from RNAcentral.